ACAAGCCUGAGAAACGGCUAGUAGGACUAAGGUCUGCAGCAGGCGCGAAACUUACACAAUGCUAGAUUACAAUUAGCGAUGUAGUGAAGAAAAAUAACGAUGUAUUUCCAUUUAAACAUGGUAGUACAAUUGGAAUGAGACGACUUUAAAUCAGUUAGUCGAGUAACAAAUGGAGGGCAAGUCUGGUGCCAGCAGCCGCGGUAAUUCCAGCUCCAUUAGCAUACAUUAAAGUUGUUGCGGUUAAAAAGCUCGUAGUUGAAUUUUAGGCGGGCUCUAUUGGGGUGCAAUCGUUAAGGUCCUCUGGUCAUAGGUUCGCCCUAUCUAGUCGGACUGGUUGUCAUCUUCCUAUAGGAACUCGCUGUUUCGUCACUUAAUCGAGUGCGAAGCGGGCUGGAACGAGGGUACGACUUCGGUCUACCUUGUCUCAGCAUCUUUACCUUGAGAAAAUUAGAGUGCUCACAGCAGGCAGUUGGGGUGUAAAAGCUCCUUUAUGCUUGAAUAAUGUUGCAUGGAAUAAUAGAAUACGGCCUCGGUUCUAUUCUGUUGGUCUUAUAGAACAACAAACAAGUUGGUUAAAGCGAUCAAAAGUCUAUAUGUGAGUGUGGUCUAGUGGUAGCUUCUUAGUUGCUGGUUAACUUCCGGCUGUGUCUUGUUGCCUAGGGCCAAAAUCCUAGAGUCUUACGCUCCGGCUUGUUGCCUUCUUUACUAAUUAGCACGCCACUUUUCCAUCCAAAGCAUUCCUUAUACGACUAGCUUCUAAUCAACUGAGGCAAUGGUUAAAAGAAAUAGUCGCGGCGGCAUCCAGUACUGGCUCGUGAGAG
RNAcentral lists this ribosomal RNA (821 nucleotides) under Diptilomiopus assamica. Its description in RNAcentral is "partial 18S ribosomal RNA". It matches the Rfam family "Eukaryotic small subunit ribosomal RNA", at positions 389 to 910 of the family's 1831-position model. The record is from RNAcentral. Lineage: Eukaryota; Metazoa; Arthropoda; Arachnida; Trombidiformes; Diptilomiopidae.